GCGGGAGUGGCGGAAUGGCAGACGCGCUGGUCUUAGGAGCCAGUCUUUCGGGGUGUGGGUUCAAGUCCCAUCUCCCGCACCA
RNAcentral lists this transfer RNA (82 nucleotides) under Harryflintia acetispora. Its description in RNAcentral is "tRNA-Leu". It matches the Rfam family "tRNA". From Rfam's summary of the family: Transfer RNA (tRNA) molecules are approximately 80 nucleotides in length. Their secondary structure includes four short double-helical elements and three loops (D, anti-codon, and T loops). Further hydrogen bonds mediate the characteristic L-shaped molecular structure. tRNAs have two regions of fundamental functional importance: the anti-codon, which is responsible for specific mRNA codon recognition, and the 3' end, to which the tRNAs corresponding amino acid is attached (by aminoacyl-tRNA synthetases). tRNAs cope with the degeneracy of the genetic code in two manners: having more than one tRNA (with a specific anti-codon) for a particular amino acid; and 'wobble' base-pairing, i.e. permitting non-standard base-pairing at the 3rd anti-codon position. The record is from RNAcentral. Lineage: Bacteria; Bacillati; Bacillota; Clostridia; Eubacteriales; Oscillospiraceae.